RNAcentral lists this transfer RNA (71 nucleotides) under Cordylochernes scorpioides. Its description in RNAcentral is "tRNA-Gly". It matches the Rfam family "tRNA". From Rfam's summary of the family: Transfer RNA (tRNA) molecules are approximately 80 nucleotides in length. Their secondary structure includes four short double-helical elements and three loops (D, anti-codon, and T loops). The record is from RNAcentral. Lineage: Eukaryota; Metazoa; Arthropoda; Arachnida; Pseudoscorpiones; Chernetidae.
GCAUCGGUGGUUCAGUCGUAGAAUACUCACCUGCCACGCGGGCGGCCCGGGUUCGAUUCCCGGCCGAUGCA